AUUGAACGCUGGCGGCAUGCUUUACACAUGCAAGUCGAACGGCAGCUCGUUCUUCGGCCUGGCGGCGAGUGGCGAACGGGUGAGUAAUACAUCGGAACGUGCCCAGUAGUGGGGGAUAGCUCGGCGAAAGCCGGAUUAAUACCGCAUACGACCUGAGGGUGAAAGCGGAGGAUCUUCGGACCUCGCGCUAUUGGAGCGGCCGACGGCAGAUUAGCUAGUUGGUGGGGUAAAGGCCUACCAAGGCGACGAUCUGUAGCUGGUCUGAGAGGACGACCAGCCACACUGGGACUGAGACACGGCCCAGACUCCUACGGGAGGCAGCAGUGGGGAAUUUUGGACAAUGGGCGAAAGCCUGAUCGAGCAAUGCCGCGUGUGUGAUGAAGGCCUUCGGGUUGUAAAGCACUUUUGGCGGGAACGAAAAGGACUGUGCGAAUCCCACGGUUCGAUGACGGUACCCGAAGAAUAAGCACCGGCUAACUACGUG
RNAcentral lists this ribosomal RNA (484 nucleotides) under uncultured bacterium. RNAcentral's name for it is "partial 16S ribosomal RNA". It matches the Rfam family "Bacterial small subunit ribosomal RNA", at positions 30 to 507 of the family's 1533-position model. The record is from RNAcentral.